Molecule: ribosomal RNA, 253 nt
Filed under: uncultured bacterium
Lineage: Bacteria
Description: partial 16S ribosomal RNA
Rfam family: Bacterial small subunit ribosomal RNA
Source: RNAcentral
UACGGAGGGUGCAAGCGUUAUCCGGAUUUACUGGGUUUAAAGGGAGCGUAGGUGGCCUUAUAAGUCAGUGGUGAAAUCUCUGGGCUUAACCCAGAAAUUGCCAUUGAUACUGUAGGGCUUGAGUAUAGAUGCCGUUGGCGGAAUAUGACAUGUAGUGGUGAAAUACAUAGAGAUGUCAUAGAACACCGAUUGCGAAGGCAGCUAACGAAACUAUAACUGACACUGAGGCUCGAAAGUGUGGGGAUCAAACAGG